This 476-nucleotide ribosomal RNA is filed under the name Salmonella enterica. RNAcentral describes it as "bacterial SSU rRNA". It matches the Rfam family "Bacterial small subunit ribosomal RNA", at positions 1 to 473 of the family's 1533-position model. The record is from RNAcentral. Lineage: Bacteria; Pseudomonadati; Pseudomonadota; Gammaproteobacteria; Enterobacterales; Enterobacteriaceae.
AAAUUGAAGAGUUUGAUCAUGGCUCAGAUUGAACGCUGGCGGCAGGCCUAACACAUGCAAGUCGAACGGUAACAGGAAGCAGCUUGCUGCUUCGCUGACGAGUGGCGGACGGGUGAGUAAUGUCUGGGAAACUGCCUGGUGGAGGGGGAUAACUACUGGAAACGGUGGCUAAUACCGCAUAACGUCGCAAGACCAAAGAGGGGGACCUUCGGGCCUCUUGCCAUCAGAUGUGCCCAGAUGGGAUUAGCUUGUUGGUGAGGUAACGGCUCACCAAGGCGACGAUCCCUAGCUGGUCUGAGAGGAUGACCAGCCACACUGGAACUGAGACACGGUCCAGACUCCUACGGGAGGCAGCAGUGGGGAAUAUUGCACAAUGGGCGCAAGCCUGAUGCAGCCAUGCCGCGUGUAUGAAGAAGGCCUUCGGGUUGUAAAGUACUUUCAGCGGGGAGGAAGGUGUUGUGGUUAAUAACCGCAGC